RNAcentral lists this long non-coding RNA (309 nucleotides) under Androctonus crassicauda. The record is from RNAcentral. Lineage: Eukaryota; Metazoa; Arthropoda; Arachnida; Scorpiones; Buthidae.
CGUUUACGGCGAUGUUCGAUUUAAUGUCGCGGUGACAGGAGAAUAAAUACCUUUGCUUUUUGUCCUUCGUCGGAAAGAUCACUUUCUCUUUAACCGAUGUGCUGGCGGAAGGCAAGACAGUCUUUAGUCCUAAAUUAUCAGUCUUUGGUCCAACACAACACUAUAACACUUUCACACAAAAUUAAUAAUUUCUUUCUUGAGACGAUCUUGGAGUUAACGUUUUCAGAUGUGUCGUCACCCGUUCGCUCGGAGCACGUAGCGGGAAUCGUCUCGAUUUCGGUCGUUGGCGAUUGGUCUCUUACUUCCCGU